AUGUCUAAUGUUUUUUCGCCUGGGGAAUUAAUCGGACUAUUGCGAGCGGAACGAGCAGGGCGAGCUUUGGACGAAUCGAUCUAUUAUCGGGUAAUCUUGUUGGGAAUAACAAGGGCUUCCCUGAAUAGCCAAAGUUUCAUAUCUGAAGCAAGUUUUCAAGAAACUGCUCGAGUUUUAGCAAAAGCUGCCCUACGAGGUCGCAUUGAUUGGUUGAAAGGCUUGAAAGAAAACGUAGUUCUAGGGGGGAUUAUACCUGUUGGUACCGGAUUCCAAAAAUUUGUGCAUCAUUCCCCACAAGACAAGAACCUUUAUUUCGAAAUAAAAAAAAUCUAUUCGCGUCGGAAAUGA
This 348-nucleotide ribosomal RNA is filed under the name Triticum aestivum (bread wheat). RNAcentral's name for it is "partial small subunit ribosomal RNA". Lineage: Eukaryota; Viridiplantae; Streptophyta; Magnoliopsida; Poales; Poaceae. The record is from RNAcentral.